RNAcentral lists this ribosomal RNA (253 nucleotides) under uncultured bacterium. RNAcentral describes it as "partial 16S ribosomal RNA". It matches the Rfam family "Bacterial small subunit ribosomal RNA", at positions 524 to 776 of the family's 1533-position model. The record is from RNAcentral.
UACGGAGGGUGCGAGCGUUGUCCGGAAUCACUGGGCGUAAAGGGUGCGUAGGCGGGUCUUUAAGUCAGGGGUGAAAUCCUGGAGCUCAACUCCAGAACUGCCUUUGAUACUGAAGAUCUUGAGUUCGGGAGAGGUGAGUGGAACUGCGAGUGUAGAGGUGAAAUUCGUAGAUAUUCGCAAGAACACCAGUGGCGAAGGCGGCUACCUGGACCGGUUCUGACGCUGAGGCGCGAAAGCGUGGGUAGCAAACAGG